RNAcentral lists this ribosomal RNA (404 nucleotides) under uncultured bacterium. RNAcentral describes it as "bacterial SSU rRNA". It matches the Rfam family "Bacterial small subunit ribosomal RNA", at positions 355 to 774 of the family's 1533-position model. The record is from RNAcentral.
UAAGGAAUCUUCCACAAUGGGCGAAAGCCUGAUGGAGCAACGCCGCGUGCAGGAUGAAGGCCCUCGGGUCGUAAACUGCUUUUAUGAGUGAAGAAUAUGACGGUAACUCAUGAAUAAGCACCGGCUAACUACGUGCCAGCAGCCGCGGUCAUACGUAGGGUGCAAGCAUUAUCCGGAGUGACUGGGCGUAAAGAGUUGCGUAGGCGGUUAGUAAAGCGAAUAGUGAAACCUGGUGGCUCAACCAUACAGACUAUUAUUCGAACUCACUAACUCGAGAGUGGUAGAGGUAACUGGAAUUUCUUGUGUAGGGGUGAAAUCCGUAGAUAUAAGAAGGAACACCAAUUGCGUAGGCAGGUUACUGGACCAUUUCUGACGCUAAGGCACGAAAGCGUGGGGAGCGAACC